GAGAGGAUUUUCGGGGAUUUUCCUUGAUUUUUCUUUUGAUUUUUUUUCUUUCUAUAUUUUUGGCUAUAAAAAGCCAAUACAAACAAUGUUUUUUUUUUACACAUUCAAUAUACAAAAAAACGAGAAUACAAAAAUCAAAAACAGAGAAAGGUGAUUUUUUUUUCUGGGUUUUUAUUCCUUUCUAUUUCGCUUGUUGCUAGAUUUUUUUUCUUU
RNAcentral lists this long non-coding RNA (213 nucleotides) under Gossypium raimondii (Peruvian cotton). RNAcentral describes it as "long non-coding RNA (GRAI_LNC007724)". Lineage: Eukaryota; Viridiplantae; Streptophyta; Magnoliopsida; Malvales; Malvaceae. The record is from RNAcentral.